Molecule: non-coding RNA, 175 nt
Submitted as: unclassified sequences
Source: Rfam
UCAUUCCCCUAAAGCAUGUUAAACCUAACGCCCUAAGCCCAUAAACGGUAUGUGAAGAUGCAUACUACGGGAUCGUGUACUUGUACAAAUGAUAAUCUCACAGGAGAUUAUUAAUUAUAAGAAGGAGAAGAGGUUCCCUCUGAAUAAGAAAUAGGAAUAAGAGGGCAUGCUUAUU